CCUACGGGAGGCAGCAGUGAGGGAUAUUGGGUCAUGGAGGCAACUCUGGACCAGCCAAGUCGCGUGAAGGAUGACUGCCCUACGGGUUGUAACUUCUUUUAUAAGGGAAUAAAGUGAGCCACGUGUGGCUUUUUGCAUGUACCUUACGAAUAAGGAUCGGCUAACUCCGUGCCAGCAGCCGCGGUAAUACGGAGGAUCCGAGCGUUAUCCGGAUUUAUUGGGUUUAAAGGGUGCGCAGGCGGAAUAUUAAGUCGGCGGUGAAAUGUUUGCAGCUUAACUGUAAAAUUGCCGUUGAUACUGGUAUUCUUGAAGUGUAUAUGAAGUAGGCGGAAUAUGUAGUGUAGCGGUGAAAUGCAUAGAUAUUACAAGGAACUCCGAUUGCGAAGGCAGCUUACUAAAUUACAACUGACGCUUAGGCACGAAGGCGUGGGUAUCAAACAGGAUUAGAUACCCUGGUAGUCCACGCCAGUAAACGAUGAUUACUCGAUGUAUGCGAUACACAGUAAGCGGCUUAGCGAAAGCGUAUAAGUAAUCCACCUGGG
This 542-nucleotide ribosomal RNA is filed under the name uncultured bacterium. RNAcentral describes it as "bacterial SSU rRNA". It matches the Rfam family "Bacterial small subunit ribosomal RNA", at positions 338 to 877 of the family's 1533-position model. The record is from RNAcentral.